RNAcentral lists this ribosomal RNA (204 nucleotides) under Serratia nematodiphila. RNAcentral's name for it is "partial 16S ribosomal RNA". It matches the Rfam family "Bacterial small subunit ribosomal RNA", at positions 122 to 329 of the family's 1533-position model. Lineage: Bacteria; Pseudomonadati; Pseudomonadota; Gammaproteobacteria; Enterobacterales; Yersiniaceae. The record is from RNAcentral.
GAAACUGCCUGAUGGAGGGGGAUAACUACUGGAAACGGUAGCUAAUACCGCAAACGUCGCAAGACCAAAGAGGGGGACCUUCGGGCCUCUUGCCAUCAGAUGUGCCCAGAUGGGAUUAGCUAGUAGGUGGGGUAAUGGCUCACCUAGGCGACGAUCCCUAGCUGGUCUGAGAGGAUGACCAGCCACACUGGAACUGAGACACGG